RNAcentral lists this ribosomal RNA (22 nucleotides) under Acacia cognata. RNAcentral's name for it is "partial 18S ribosomal RNA". Lineage: Eukaryota; Viridiplantae; Streptophyta; Magnoliopsida; Fabales; Fabaceae. The record is from RNAcentral.
GGUGAUCCUGCCAGUAGUCAUA